AUCUCUUGGAAGACAUCAGAUAAAGUUGGAAUGAUAAAGAUUAGCAUAGGCCUGCGCAAGGAUGAUACGCACGAAUCGACAGAUGAUAUUUUUUUUG
This 97-nucleotide small nuclear RNA is filed under the name Dichanthelium oligosanthes. The record is from RNAcentral. Lineage: Eukaryota; Viridiplantae; Streptophyta; Magnoliopsida; Poales; Poaceae.